RNAcentral lists this ribosomal RNA (435 nucleotides) under uncultured bacterium. RNAcentral's name for it is "bacterial SSU rRNA". It matches the Rfam family "Bacterial small subunit ribosomal RNA", at positions 28 to 477 of the family's 1533-position model. The record is from RNAcentral.
GACGAACGCUGGCGGCGUGCUUAACACAUGCAAGUCGAACGGUGACCCAGGGCUUGCCCUGGUGAUCAGUGGCGAACGGGUGAGUAACACGUGGGCAACCUGCCCCUGACUUCGGGAUAACUCCUCGAAAGAGGAGCUAAUACCGGAUACGACCACUUCGGACAUCCGAUGGUGGUGGAAAGUUUUUCGGUUCAGGGAUGGGCCCGCGGCCUAUCAGCUAGUUGGUGGGGUAAUGGCCUACCAAGGCGACGACGGGUAGCCGGCCUGAGAGGGCGACCGGCCACACUGGGACUGAGACACGGCCCAGACUCCUACGGGAGGCAGCAGUGGGGAAUAUUGCGCAAUGGGCGAAAGCCUGACGCAGCGACGCCGCGUGAGGGAUGAAGGCCUCGGUUGUAAACCGUCUUCUAGCAGGACGAAGCGAAAGUGACGGUA